Molecule: ribosomal RNA, 248 nt
Filed under: uncultured bacterium
Lineage: Bacteria
Description: partial 16S ribosomal RNA
Rfam family: Bacterial small subunit ribosomal RNA
Source: RNAcentral
GAUCCGGCUCAGGAUGAACGCUAGCUACAGGCUUAACACAUGCAAGUCGAGGGGCAGCAUGGACCCAGCUUUGCUGGGUUUGAUGGCGACCGGCGCACGGGUGAGUAACGCGUAUCCAACCUGCCCUUUACUCCGGGAUAGUCUCCUGAAAGGGAGUUUAAUACCGGAUGUGUUUGUCUUUCCGCAUGGGAGCGACAAAUAAAGAUUAAUUGGUAAAGGAUGGUGAUGCGUCCCAUUAGCUUGUUGGG